This 3365-nucleotide long non-coding RNA is filed under the name Panax ginseng (ginseng). RNAcentral's name for it is "long non-coding RNA (PGIN_LNC008692)". The record is from RNAcentral. Lineage: Eukaryota; Viridiplantae; Streptophyta; Magnoliopsida; Apiales; Araliaceae.
GUAAAUAUUAUACGAUGGGAGAUUUCGUAGUCCAGGAAGAAGAUGUCAAGGCUGGCAAAGAAAAGGCCGCAGGGAUGUACAAAGUUGUAGAAGCCUACCUCCUCCAAAACCCUGAUGCCUAUGCUUAGUGUGCUUGCUACCCGAAAUGAGUAACAUUGAGGCUGCCUAUUUUCUGCUGUUCUAACAAUAAAAGCCUAAACCACGCGUUGGGAGUGUUGUAAUUCAGUCAUCUUAAUAAAAAUGCUCAAUCCAGUUUGUUUCCUUUCAUUUUGGUUGUGGCCUAUUUCUGUGCAGUUAAUUUUGUGCAGUGGAAGUAAUUUCAGUGAUCAAGUUAAGUUUACAAACCAAGGUGCAUCGUAGUGCACAAACCAAACAAUUUACAAAUCAUUACGCUCGCAACAUGUGUGGGAACCAAUUGCUAACUGAGAAACAUAAUGCAGUAUCUUGCAUACCUAGGUGCUCUACUUCCAUGUUAAGUUCUCAACUGCUCUUAAAAGUUUAAGCUGUCUAAAAAGGGCCUAAAAGUAUUUGUAGAUGCAGAUGGUAUUAAUCUGGUUGAAGUAAUGUGCCCAUGCAUUUUGGUGCAAUAACAAUGAAACUGAUCUUGAGUUAUAGGUGAAGUUGGAUAAUGUGCAGGACUUGAAUAUCAGAUAAAUCAAAGUAUUUCGUUAAAGAAAUUGUGAAAAUUUUGAAAAGAAUGUUUCUAAGAGACAAUCUUGCACUAAUUGAUACAACCAAAUUUGGAUGCCUUCCUCUUCUUCCUUCUUGAAAGACAAUGGGCUUUGUUUAAUAUUUUUUUGAACAUGCCAUUAACUUAAUGCAUUAGGAGUUUUUCGUUAAAGUCGGAAAUAUGAUUAACAGUAUAUGUAAAUCAAAAAAUAAGUGGACUGGGAUUCAUUUUGAUGUAGCUUUUGGCAGAGCUGGAGUUUAUUUUUUGGGUGCAUUGAUGUUAGUUUGGGUCAGCCUUUCAAUGUUUUCAUUAGUUCCCAGUUUCAUUAUCAUGCAACAAAUCGUAAUAUGUCAGGGAUCCAACCCUUUUAGAUCCUUAAACUUUCAGUAUAUUCAGAAAAAAUAAUAAUUUUGCCUUGGCAAAAAAAAUUAAUUACUUAAAUAUUGUCUAGCACCAUAUGACUAGCCAUAAACAUCUAUAUAGUUUAACAUAACAAUUGCAAUGAGUCUUAUCUCAUCAAACGCUUAACUAUUCGUCUCAUUAUUGUAUAAUAACACUGCGAUUAAGCAGGUAAUCCCUAUUACAGUAAGGCCAAACCAAAGAGAAAAACUCACUCAUGAAAACAACAACAGUUGAAAGAUCAAACAAUACUAAACAUAGGCCUCCGGGUUCUGAAGGAGGUAGGCUUCCACAACCUUGUACAUUCCCAACACCUUUUCUUUGCCUACCUUAAUGUCCUCUUGUUUGAGCUCAAAAUCUCCCUUGGUGUAACACUUGGUUGUCAUCUUAGAAAUAGUCCCACCAUUUGCUGAUGCCUCAACUUAACUUCAUACGAUAUUUUUUCAAUCUUUUCCAUUAGUCCCUCCCCUUCAAUCAAGCUAUAGUUGUACGUAUAUGUCUUCUCAUUUAGCUCAUCAAUCCGGUGCUUCAGAUAGCCAAAAUUGUCACCUGCAGCAAAAAGAAAAUGAUAUCUUUCAUAUAUAUCUUUGUUUAAUGAUGUAACAAAUCAAACACAUGCAACAAGUUAAAAAUACCUUGAACAAAGUUGAUCUGUUUAAUGCUUCCAGCACCUCCAUCGCCUUGGAUGAGCUCGAUGCUCUUGAUAGCCUGUGGUAGGAGUUUUGGAAUCAAGUUAAGGGAGUCAAGGAUUGAAGCCUUAAAUAUUCUUGAUGGAGAAAUUGGAGAAGCAUACUCAUCGGUAAAAGUGAUAACACCCAUGACUAUUUUGUAGAGGUCUAAAGAUGAUUAGGGAGAAAAUAGAAAACUUGGGUUAUGUGCAGAGCUUGUUUGCAUAUUUUAGAUUUAUGAGAAGAUAUAGGAAGAAAGUUAGAUUUUCUAGUUUUUUUAACUGAUAAAUUACUUCUAAUUGGAUCAUUCCUUCUGCAGAUACCAAAGCAUAUAGACAACUAUAUUCGAUUCUUUGUCGAAUUUGCAUGUCCCAAGUCAUAACAAGCCAUUCCCAUUUAGUUGUGCAUCAAUUACCCAAAAGAUUUGAACACUUCCAAUACUACAAAUUCUUAGCAAAAAAUGACAGAUGGGAGAAUAAGCAGAUAAGAUAUUAUUUUGGUGCUUAGAAGGGACAGAACAGUUACACAGUCCCCUUUGUGAUAAAUCCUUGUUAAUUAAGAUGUACUACUAUUAUUUAUCAUUAAACAAGUCGUGGUGAUUGAUAAACUACAAUAAUUUGAUAAUUUAUGGAAUUCUAACUCACAUAUGUUUAAGGCAAUUGAGAUCCUUAAUUUUGUCCUAAGCAUAUUGCACAAUGGGAGGCAAUUAUUUCAGAAAAGUAAAACUCCAUUACUUCAAGUUAUAAAUACAUACCAUCUUCUCAUAUUCUGCAAACACAUUAUAACAAUCCUCUAUUACUUUCCCAGAGCUAAUUCAUCAUAAAAACUAGAAGAUGGGAAUCACCACUUUCACUGAUGAGUACAAUUACUCAAUCUCUCCAGCAAGACUAUUCAAGGGUUCGAUCCUUGACUCUCACAACUUGAUCCCAAAGCUCAUGCCACAGGCCAUUAAGAGCAUUGAAACUAUACAAGGAAAUGGAGGGACCGGCAGCAUCAAACAAAUCAACCUUGCCGGAGGUUAGAUUUCUAACUUUCUUGAUAAAAAACUAAAAAUUCUAUAGUAGUCCCUAAAACUUUUUCAUUAUCCGAUCACACUUUAAAAAACUUGAAUUUGACACAUGUUUCAUUACUUUAUUGCAGGUAGCACCUUUAGUUAUAUGAAGUACUACAUCGAUGAGCUGAACGAAGAGACUUACACCUAUAAUUACACUUUGGUUGAAGGAGAUGCCUUGACAAAGGGGCUUGAGAAGAUAACCUAUGAGAUUAAAUUUGAGGGCACACCUAAUGGUGGUACCAUCUCCAAGAUGACAAGUAAAUAUUAUACGAUGGGAGAUUUCGUAGUCCAGGAAGAAGAUGUCAAGGCUGGCAAAGAAAAGGCCGCAGGGAUGUACAAAGUUGUAGAAGCCUACCUCCUCCAAAACCCUGAUGCCUAUGCUUAGUGUGCUUGCUACCCGAAAUGAGUAACAUUGAGGCUGCCUAUUUUCUGCUGUUCUAACAAUAAAAGCCUAAACCACGCGUUGGGAGUGUUGUAAUUCAGUCAUCUUAAUAAAAAUGCUCAAUCCAGUUUGUUUCCUUUCAUUUUGGUUGUGGCCUAUUUUUGUGCAGUUACUAAAUUUUGGUUAAUGGAA